RNAcentral lists this unclassified non-coding RNA (347 nucleotides) under soil metagenome. RNAcentral describes it as "partial contains 5.8S ribosomal RNA, internal transcribed spacer 2, and large subunit ribosomal RNA". The stretch from base 1 to 120 matches the Rfam family "5.8S ribosomal RNA", at positions 35 to 154 of the family's 154-position model. The record is from RNAcentral.
GAUGAAGAACGCAGCGAAAUGCGAUAAGUAAUGUGAAUUGCAGAAUUCAGUGAAUCAUCGAGUCUUUGAACGCACAUUGCGCCCCCUGGUAUUCCGGGGGGCAUGCCUGUCCGAGCGUCAUUGCUGCCCAUCAAGCACGGCUUGUGUGUUGGGUCCCGUCCCCCUCUCCCGGGGGACGGACCCGAAAGGCAGCGGCGGCACCGCGUCCGGUCCUCGAGCGUAUGGGGCUUUGUCACCCGCUCUUGUAGGCCCGGCCGGCGCUUGCCGACACCCAACCAUUUUUUUCAGGUUGACCUCGGAUCAGGUAGGGAUACCCGCUGAACUUAAGCAUAUCAAUAAGCGGAGGA